RNAcentral lists this transfer RNA (77 nucleotides) under Candidatus Thorarchaeota archaeon. Its description in RNAcentral is "tRNA-Ile". It matches the Rfam family "tRNA". Rfam says of the family: Transfer RNA (tRNA) molecules are approximately 80 nucleotides in length. Lineage: Archaea; Promethearchaeati; Candidatus Thorarchaeota. The record is from RNAcentral.
GGGCCCGUAGCUCAGCUUGGUAGAGCAGCAGGCUCAUAACCUGUCGGCCGGGCGUUCAAAUCGCCCCGGGCCCACCA